This is a small nuclear RNA of Sarcophilus harrisii (Tasmanian devil), 102 nucleotides long. The record is from Ensembl. NCBI's taxonomy places the organism in Eukaryota, Metazoa, Chordata, Mammalia, Dasyuromorphia, Dasyuridae.
UUAUAAGUCAGCUUUGGCAGCACAUAAAUUGGAAUGAUACAGGGAUUGGCAUGGCUACUGCACUAGGAUGAUAUGCAUGUUAAUGUAAUGUUUCAUAUUUUU